Podarcis lilfordi (Lilford's wall lizard) is the source of this 76-nucleotide non-coding RNA. NCBI's taxonomy places the organism in Eukaryota, Metazoa, Chordata, Lepidosauria, Squamata, Lacertidae. The record is from the annotation of a GenBank genome assembly.
GGAGAGGACCAUAGCUCUGUGUGAGAGCAUCUGCUUUGCAUGCAGAAGGUCUCAGGUUCAAUCCCUGGCUUCUCCU